AUUGAACGCUGGCGGCAUGCUUUACACAUGCAAGUCGAACGGCAGCGCGGGCUUCGGCCUGGCGGCGAGUGGCGAACGGGUGAGUAAUACAUCGGAACGUGCCCAGUAGUGGGGGAUAGCUCGGCGGAAGCCGGAUUAAUACCGCAUACGACCUGAGGGUGAAAGCGGGGGAUCUUCGGACCUCGCGCUAUUGGAGCGGCCGAUGGCAGAUUAGCUAGUUGGUGGGGUAAAGGCCUACCAAGGCGACGAUCUGUAGCUGGUCUGAGAGGACGACCAGCCACACUGGGACUGAGACACGGCCCAGACUCCUACGGGAGGCAGCAGUGGGGAAUUUUGGACAAUGGGCGAAAGCCUGAUCCAGCAAUGCCGCGUGUGUGAUGAAGGCCUUCGGGUUGUAAAGCACUUUUGGCGGGAACGAAAAGGACUGUGCCAAUACCACGGUUCGAUGACGGUACCCGCAGAAUAAGCACCGGCUAACUACGU
RNAcentral lists this ribosomal RNA (483 nucleotides) under uncultured bacterium. RNAcentral's name for it is "partial 16S ribosomal RNA". It matches the Rfam family "Bacterial small subunit ribosomal RNA", at positions 29 to 506 of the family's 1533-position model. The record is from RNAcentral.